This 261-nucleotide long non-coding RNA is filed under the name Elaeis guineensis (African oil palm). RNAcentral's name for it is "long non-coding RNA (EGUI_LNC067326)". Lineage: Eukaryota; Viridiplantae; Streptophyta; Magnoliopsida; Arecales; Arecaceae. The record is from RNAcentral.
GCUAUGAUCUAGUUAUCCCCAUAACAACUUAUUUUCGAGAUCUAAUAAUUUAGAGCAUUUAAUUUAUCAAUUGAGAAAAGAGAAAAGUCAACCAAUAAACCAUAAUUCUCUCACUAACUUCAUCAAGUCUUUGAAUUAGAUUAAGAUCAUGCUGGUUGAACUGGCACCUAGAUCAGUCACGUUGAUCAACCUUAAUGACAUGGGUUAACUCGAAUCACUUAGUGAUCUAAUCAAAACUUAAUUCAUCAAAUUAGCUAGGUA